GGACCCGGCUCACGCUGGGUCC
This 22-nucleotide unclassified non-coding RNA is filed under the name Thermus thermophilus. RNAcentral describes it as "5'-R(*GP*GP*AP*CP*CP*CP*GP*GP*CP*UP*CP*AP*CP*GP *CP*UP*GP*GP*GP*UP*CP*C)-3' from Thermus thermophilus (PDB 4A4S, chain A)". The record is from RNAcentral. Lineage: Bacteria; Thermotogati; Deinococcota; Deinococci; Thermales; Thermaceae.